This 23-nucleotide non-coding RNA is filed under the name Cricetulus griseus (Chinese hamster). The record is from RNAcentral. Lineage: Eukaryota; Metazoa; Chordata; Mammalia; Rodentia; Cricetidae.
CAGAAAGGAAGCUAUGGACUGGU